GACGAACGCUGGCGGCGUGCUUAACACAUGCAAGUCGAACGGAAAGGCCCUGCUUGCCGGGUACUCGAGUGGCGAACGGGUGAGUAACACGUGGGUGAUCUGCCCUGCACUUCGGGAUAAGCCUGGGAAACUGGGUCUAAUACCGGAUAGGAGCCAUUUUUAGUGUGAUGGUUGGAAAGUUUUUUCGGUGUAGGAUGAGCUCGCGGCCUAUCAGCUUGUUGGUGGGGUAAUGGCCUACCAAGGCGGCGACGGGUAGCCGGCCUGAGAGGGUGGACGGCCACAUUGGGACUGAGAUACGGCCCAGACUCCUACGGGAGGCAGCAGGGGGGAAUAUUGCACAAUGGGCGCAAGCCUGAUGCAGCGACGCCGCGUGGGGGAUGACGGCCUUCGGGUUGUAAACUCCUUUCGCUAGGGACGAAGCUUUUUGUGACGGUACCUAGAGAAGAAGCACCGGCUAACUACGUG
Molecule: ribosomal RNA, 465 nt
Filed under: uncultured bacterium
Lineage: Bacteria
Description: partial 16S ribosomal RNA
Rfam family: Bacterial small subunit ribosomal RNA
Source: RNAcentral